Molecule: long non-coding RNA, 97 nt
Filed under: Coturnix japonica (Japanese quail)
Lineage: Eukaryota; Metazoa; Chordata; Aves; Galliformes; Phasianidae
Description: lncRNA (ENSCJPG00005019676.1)
Source: RNAcentral
UGUUCACAGAAAAUACACCACAGUGGAUCUGACAGCCAGAAUCAAGACUGCUGUAUCCCCAUGGCCCCACAGACAACAAGUACUGUGGUACUGUGGC